This is a long non-coding RNA of Nannospalax galili (Upper Galilee mountains blind mole rat), 954 nucleotides long. RefSeq lists it as uncharacterized. Lineage: Eukaryota; Metazoa; Chordata; Mammalia; Rodentia; Spalacidae. The record is from RefSeq and is a predicted model, not a curated record. The transcript has 3 exons.
ACAGCGACUGUCUCCAUCCAGAGCACCUGAAGCAGGUGCUGAGCCUCGUGCUGCUGCCUUAUGUGAGGAGUGGACCCUUUUCAUUAUAACCGUGCCAAACUGGAAUGGUUGAGCGUAUUUUUCAAAUGAGGACACUCUCUGACAGCACAUAAACUCAUCCUUCUGCUUAUCCACCAGGCCUGUGUUCCAAGACCAGCAGCAGAUGUGGGUCUGAAAUGGAGUGGAAUAUGGCUUCCUGCACCUAGUGACGGUUGAGGAAACUUGAAUUUGGUGUCAUGGCGAAGCCUCGAGGCCCUGAGGAGACCCCAUCUUCAGAACCAAUGGAAGAAGAGGAAGAAAAGGACUUGGAGCUCUUGGGGGGCUAUGAUAGUUUCUGGAGUUACAACAGCAAUGUAGGCAGCAGGAGCAGCUCCUAUCUGGAGGAGUCAAGUGAAGCAGAAAAUGAUUGGGAUUUGGGGGAUCUGCCCCCCCAACAUUUGCUCAGCCCUGAGAACUCACGCUCCUUGGAUGGCAGUGGUUCUGAGCCAGGUGCCUUCAUAGUGUCCUUGAAGAUGGAGCGGAGUCAGGAGGCUGUGGAACAGGGAAAUGGACGGAAACAGGCAAUGUGGGCAGAGCCAUCCAGAUGUCUAAGGGUCUGGCUACCAGGGUCGUUUGCUCUGUACAGUCUGGUUUCAAAGUAGAAUUCCACUCAUUCUCCCAUUUAGUACAUGUUAGAUGCCAGUCAGCUGUUAGGGAAAGAGGAAUUUACUGCUUGUUUGAACAUACUGCUUGUCUGAAUUUAUUGCUUGAAUUUACUUGUUUAAAUUUACUGCUUGUAACCAAUUAACUCAACUGGAGACACAGGCAUCCAGAGAUAGAGGCAAAGUGCUACAGCCUCCGGAGCCUGACCUAUUCUGUGUCAUGUCAUGUAGACAUGUCUGCUUACACAAGAUAACAAGAAAGACUCGUAGCAGG